CGAACACCUCCGCGUCAGUCGCAGCGCGUCGCUCGCGCGCCCUGCGCGCGGUGGUGUGGUGUCAUACCCCGUCUGGUGGUGAAGAGGUUAGGCGCGCCCGACAUGGCCUCUCACGGGACUGCCAAGAAGUUGAUAGGGGCUCACAUCGGACCCUGCUCCUCGUCGUCGGCAAGUCGGACCACGCAGGGCGGACCAGCAGGAUUCGGCUGAAAGAAACACCCUCGACGUCGAUUUGGGGAAAUUCUGAAUUAUGUCCAUGGAUCAUAGAGAUGUGAUACUGUCGUGUGUUUGAUCAAGGAGGGUUUCUGACCCCGGCCGAGGUGCCCCUGGUGUGUCCUGAACUCCAUCUCGGGGCCCCCGGGCGCGGCGUGGCGUGGCGCGGUGGGGCGGCUUUCAUCAUGCCCACCCUUUCGCCCACUCCGUCACACCCAAGGAGCCCCGGAGGACGGCCGCAGGACGGCCGGCGGAGGAGGAUCUCAGCGGGGCUCCGGGGCAGGAUGGGGUCGGCAAGCGGGGAGGGGGCCGCCCCCCAAGCCAGGCCGUGGUGGCGGUGGUGAUGGUGGCGGCGGUCGUAGUGCCGCCCGCCUGGACCUUCACCGGAAAUGAAAGUGGGCGUCCGUCCCCCGGAGCAGCUUCCGGCGUACCGCAACAACACGGUGGUAGUGCCCCACAGGCACGCACUGCUUUGAUUCAUCAUCCCGCGUCACCGUCAUCAUCACCGCUACCAUCGUCGUCGUCGUCAAGUUGGCAGCAAGGGCCAAGGGUCCGUUCCGUUUGCCGUGCUUUGCGCCAGCGGCCCAUCAUCCUACACGACAAGCGGCUCGCGAGCUUGCACGCCCUUCUUGGCUUCCAUGAAUGGACCUCAAACCACACAAACAAUCUAAGCACGCCGCCGACGCGACGACGGACGCCUGUCCAUGUGCAGCCGCCAGACCGAGACCAGGAGGAGAGCGGCGGCCCGGGCGGAGCAGGGAGCCCCGAAGCGGAGCGCGAAGCCGAAGCGGACGCGCAUGCAUAUCAAAGGGGCAGAGAGGGCUGCACAGGCAGGUCAAACGGAGCAGACAGCUCCGUGUCUCAUUUCCUGCUUCUCACUCCAAUUACUUUUCACUCCGGCGCACUCACACACACACGUCUACACAACACAUUUACUCUCGGCCGCUCUCUCACACAUACACUCACACUCCAACACGCGGAGCUGUCACGAAGACGUCUCGUCCAUCCUCCUUCGAGACAAACACAUAUACACACACAGGAGGGCGCCGCUGUGCUGUUUCUCCCGACGCCGUACUCGGGGAGGGUGACCCCGCUCCCUCUCCUCCCCCCGCGCCGCGCUCGGCCAACCCUUCCCGCCGUCACCCGGCGACGCCACACUAGCCUUCGGCCGACGACGCGGAGGGAUGUUAGUUUUGCAUUCUAU
Frankliniella occidentalis (western flower thrips) is the source of this 1417-nucleotide long non-coding RNA. RefSeq lists it as uncharacterized. The record is from RefSeq and is a predicted model, not a curated record. The transcript is spliced from 3 exons. Lineage: Eukaryota; Metazoa; Arthropoda; Insecta; Thysanoptera; Thripidae.